GAUGCGGCCGGGGACGUGGCGGACGCUCCUGCGAGCAGCCCGGCCCCGUCGCGGCAGCACGUGGGCAGCAGGGUGGCCGGCAAGGAGGGGAAGGUCGUGCCAGAAGCUCUCGGUGACGUGGUUCUGGAGUCGUAAGUCUGGGCAGUGACGUGGGGCCGAGGGCCCGGCUCACUUCAGUGCCCCUUCGGGGGGCCGCAUCCUGCUAGGGAGGGAUGCCCUGGAGGGAUGGGGCAAAGCCCCCUCGGCUGUGUCGGCCUCGUCAGAUCCCAAGCAGCAGCAGCAGAUCCCCAGGUUGCUCUGUAUGGACUGUGGCCCCCCGCAGAAAUCUGAGUUAUGGCCCUUUGCAGCCCUUGGCCUCUCUAGGCUGCUGACAAGGGACGCGAUCAGAUCCAGCUCUGUUAGCGUUGCUAAUAGAGGGUCAGAAAUUGCAGUGCUGGUCCUGCUGGCCUUCAUUCAGUCAGGCCUAACUGUGCUUUGGUCCAGGGCUGGGCUCCUCCAAGGUCCAGGUGCUGCUGAUGAAGUUACCUGCAUUGCAACCCCCCCCGCCAAUGUUUCCUGUGGGCUUUGAUGCUGAAAAGGAGAGAGAGCAGCUCCUGAAAGAUCAGGGUGCAGAAUCCCCUAAAGCAGAGCUGUCUCUAUGGAACAGGCUCAUCACCAUGAACAGACAUCGACGGACUUCAGAUAAGCCUCACGUCCUAGGAARCUUGACGCAACUGGRAAGGGAAGAGGAGUCUCCUUUGAACGCGGUUGCUGAUGGACCCGCAGCACCGGYUCUCCCCCUCCUGCCUGCAAAACCCUCUGAUGUGGUCCCUGUCUACAGGUUUCCUGAAAACAGAGCAGAAGAAACCAUUGGCUACUUCGGGAGAAGCCAGGUAGAGCUGGGAGCAAAUGGCGCAGRAACCCCCAGAGAAGGCUGAGGGCAUCCUCAUAGAAAGAUAUUCUUCCUUAGCAGUUCAGGCAGACCUCAACAGUCAUAUCUCUCAGCUGAUGGUAUCUCACUGGCCGUGAAAGAAAUUGUAAUUUAAUCAACAAAGAGCGCUUAGAGCCCCAGACCAGAUGGGAGAAAUGUUUGUGAAACAAAGACUCUAUUUUCGAGAAAA
Molecule: long non-coding RNA, 1100 nt
Filed under: Apteryx rowi (Okarito brown kiwi)
Lineage: Eukaryota; Metazoa; Chordata; Aves; Apterygiformes; Apterygidae
Description: lncRNA (ENSARWG00000005610.1)
Source: RNAcentral